Molecule: long non-coding RNA, 293 nt
Filed under: Panax ginseng (ginseng)
Lineage: Eukaryota; Viridiplantae; Streptophyta; Magnoliopsida; Apiales; Araliaceae
Description: long non-coding RNA (PGIN_LNC019002)
Source: RNAcentral
CACAUGUUAGAUAUAAUUCCAAAGCUCAAUUUGUGCCUUCCCAAUAAUUGCUAUUCUUUUAUCUUCUAUUCUUCUUCCUAAUUACCUUGAGUGGAGGGAUCAAUAAUCAAUUCUUUUGAUUCAUUUUUCCCUUGCUUGUAAGUUUUACCCAGUACUAGGUUUUCAUCAAUCUUUAUCAUGUUCAGAUUCUGUUAUGAUUGAAGAAUCUGAAUCCUAAGCACUUCAGAAAUAGAUCCUUUUUGUUCCCAAUCACUACUUUUUUAUUUAUAUCUGCAGGAGCUAACUAAUCUGAC